GGAAGAUAUACGAGUUUUCACUCCAAACCCUUAUGUGAACCUACCUAUCGUUGCUUCGGCGGACUCGCCCCAGCCGGACGCGGACUGGACCAGCGGCCGCCGGGGACCAUCAAACUCUUGUAUUAUCAGCAUCUUCUGAAUACGCCGCAAGGCAAAACAAAUAAAUUAAAACUUUCAACAACGGAUCUCUUGGCUCUGGCAUCGAUGAAGAACGCAGCGAAAUGCGAUAAGUAAUGUGAAUUGCAGAAUCCAGUGAAUCAUCGAAUCUUUGAACGCACAUUGCGCCCGCCAGCAUUCUGGCGGGCAUGCCUGUUCGAGCGUCAUUUCAACCCUCGACCUCCCUUUGGGGAAGUCGGCGUUGGGGACCGGCAGCACACCGCCGGCCCUGAAAUGGAGUGGCGGCCCGUCCGCGGCGACCUCUGCGUAGUAAACCAACUCGCACCGGAACCCCGACGUGGCCACGCCGUAAAACACCCAACUUCUGAACGUUGACCUCGAAUCAGGUAGGACUACCCGCUGAACUUAAGCAUAUAUUAAGCGGAGGA
Molecule: ribosomal RNA, 545 nt
Filed under: Beauveria bassiana
Lineage: Eukaryota; Fungi; Ascomycota; Sordariomycetes; Hypocreales; Cordycipitaceae
Description: eukaryotic LSU rRNA
Rfam family: 5.8S ribosomal RNA (bases 170-323)
Source: RNAcentral